AUGUAAAACCCUGGCGUUCUGUUUUGUUCAUCACGCUACAUGCACUUGGAUUCUAUUUGUGGGUUUGUGUGGUUUCAAUAAUCAUCAUUCACCGGAAAAUGAGAUUUUGUAUUGUGUACGGUAAUUCUGAAGACGACGUAAAGCAUUUAUUUUGCUUUCCCCGUAGCGCAGACAGGUAAACAGAAAAUUUAUUAUCUUGUUGUGUCGCAAAUAUGGCAGGAAGCUAUGGGAAUGAAAUAUAGACCACUAUGUGGCCAUGUUAGAAUCUGCAAUGAGCAUUUCACAAAAGAUAGAUUUGUGCCGUGUACCUCAGUUUUACGUUUGAAAGCUGAUGCAGUGCCCACAAUUCUGGAAGUCCAGAAGGACCAUGUUAUGAAGGGACUGGACCAGAUAGCAAAUAAAAAAGUAAACAUUAUAUCCCAAUAUAUAAUAAAGCCAGAACCACAGGUACUGAAUUUUACAUAUUAUUCUAGAUGAUUUGCUUUUAUCUUGCUUUAUGUAAUAAAACAUAACUUAGGUGUUAAUUGAAAUUCAAUUUCUUAGACUCUUUUGUAUACCAAAUCAUUAAGUAAUGCAAACAGUGAAGUUACUGAACAUGAGAAAACAAAUUCCUCGCAGUCACCAUCCCAACGGGCUGUCACACUAAUUUCAAGUACAGUUAGAUGUAGAAGGACUCUUUUUAAGGACGUUGAAGGCUUGUGUUCAACACAGAUAACACCAAGAAAGCAAAAGUUGAUGGUUAUUGUGAAGAGGAAGCAGGGUCUCUUGCGAUAGAUGCAGUUACAUCUUGAGCUCAGAUGACACUGAGCCAUGUAAUCAAUUUAUUUCCAGUAAGGAAUUCUCAAAUUCUAAGAAUAAAUUGUUUUAUCCUUCUAAACAGUUUGUUAUUGCGGUUGGUAUUGGUAUUACAGUUUUAGAGAAUAAGCUACCAAUUAUUUGUGAAAAGAAUAACCUACAAGAUGUAGCAACAAAUUUACUUAACCAAGAAAUUGAUUUCUCAUUUAUUACUUGUGAGGAACAUUUUUAUUUUUUGAAAGAUUUUUUACUUAAAAGUAUAUGUAGAAUCGGAAUCCCAUGGUACUGUACAAGACUUGUCCGAAAUUUAAGAUCUGAAGACAGCCGGCAAAUAUCAGCAUGCACAAAAAGAAAAAUUUUGCAUAAAUAAUAACAAUACCAUUAAAUGUCUACUUCUUGGACAAUUCAUACACCUACAGUACCAUCAAAUUCUGAUUCAUUGGGUCCACAUUUACAAACAACUUUGUCCUCUUGCAUAAUGUUUUGUUUCAGUUUUCUUGGAAUCCCUAUGAUCUAAUGUUACUAGUUCUCAUUCAGUCUGUGUUUGUUAUGAAAAGAUGUGGCAUAGCAUUAUUAUUAUUGUGAAUCUUUGUUGUACUUAUGCAAAUACAAUUUGACAAAGCUCAA
Diorhabda sublineata is the source of this 1422-nucleotide RNA transcript. RefSeq lists it as uncharacterized. The record is from RefSeq and is a predicted model, not a curated record. Lineage: Eukaryota; Metazoa; Arthropoda; Insecta; Coleoptera; Chrysomelidae. The transcript is spliced from 3 exons.